AGCGAACGCUGGCGGCAGGCUUAACACAUGCCAGUCGAGCGGGCAUCCUUGUGGUGUCAGCGGCAGACGGGUGAGUAACGCGUGGGAACGUGCCCUUCGGUUCGGAAUAACUCAGGGAAACUUGAGCUAAUACCGGAUACGUGCGAGAGCAGAAAGGUUUAUCUGCUGAAGGAUCGGCCCGCGUCUGAUUAGCUAGUUGGUGAGGUUACGGCUCACCAAGGCGACGAUCAGUAGCUGGUCUGAGAGGAUGAUCAGCCACACUGGGACUGAGACACGGCCCAGACUCCUACGGGAGGCAGCAGUGGGGAAUAUUGGACAAUGGGGGCAACCCUGAUCCAGCCAUGCCGCGUGAGUGAUGACGGCCUUAGGGUUGUAAAGCUCUUUUCUCCGGGACGAUAAUGACGGUACCGGAGGAAUAAGCCCCGGCUAACUUCGUG
This 437-nucleotide ribosomal RNA is filed under the name uncultured bacterium. RNAcentral describes it as "partial 16S ribosomal RNA". It matches the Rfam family "Bacterial small subunit ribosomal RNA", at positions 29 to 507 of the family's 1533-position model. The record is from RNAcentral.